AAUAGAUACCCCGGUAGUCCACGCCGUAAACGAUGGAUGCUAGCUGUUAUGCGUAUCGACCCGUGUAGUAGCGAAGCUAACGCGUUAAGCAUCCCGCCUGGGGAGUACGAACGCAAGUUUAAAACUCAAAGGAAUUGACGGGGACCCGCACAAGCGGUGGAGCGUGUUCUUUAAUUCGAGGCUAAGCGAAGAACCUUACCAGGGCUUGACAUCCUUGGAAUUUCUCCGAAAGGAGAGAGUACUUUAUUGGACCAAGUGACAGGUGCUGCAUGGCCGUCGUCAGCUCGUGUCGUGAGAUGUUUGGUUAAGUCCAUUAACGAGCGCAACCCUUAUGAAUAGUUGUAUUUUUCUAUUCAGACUGCCCCGGUAACGGGGAGGAAGGGGGGAUGAUGUCAGGUCAGUAUUGCCCUUACGCCCUGGGCUAGAAACGCGCUACAAUGGCCGGUACAAUGCGCUGCCAACCCGCGAGGGGGAGCAAAUCGCAUCAAAGCCGGUCCCAGUUCGGAUAAGAGGCUGAAACUCGCCUCUUUGAAGCCGGAAUCGCUAGUAAUCGU
Molecule: ribosomal RNA, 554 nt
Filed under: uncultured bacterium
Lineage: Bacteria
Description: bacterial SSU rRNA
Rfam family: Bacterial small subunit ribosomal RNA
Source: RNAcentral